GAAGUUGGUACGCCGUGGGUGCCGAGAGCAGAAAGCACCCCGUGACUCCUUUGCCGGGCCGGGCACAGACGCCCGGUUAGUGGAUUCGGGCACCGCAGGCUGGUGCAGAAGCCGGGUCCCUGCGGCUGCGAUGGCAGCUUCGCCUCCCCUUACCCGUGGCCACCUCUGGGUGCCCGCCCUCUCCUGCCCUCUUACCAGGGCAAAGAUCAAGCCUGCACCGCGGUCCUCAGCGCCGCUCUGUCUCCGAGAGCGGCGGGCCCUGCCGUGCGGGCCAGGGAGAAGCCGCCUGGGAGGGGGAGAGGCCUCCGAUCCUCUGCCCCUGUGACGAUGACGGUGACGGUGAUGGCUCACUGCCUCACGGGAGACUAAGCUGGAGGUUCUGCUCCCACUGCCGUCGUCACACCAGCGCCCUUCGUGGAGGCUCUUACUCAGUUCUCCCAGUGACCACACCGAGGGCCUCCUGCUGUGUCCACGUCACAGACCCAGGCCCGGGGGCUGAUGCGCUUGUCAGAUCCUCCCGCUCGCAGGUUCCUCUCCAGCUGCGCGGCUACCUGCUAUGUGACACGUUAUAACAAGGCGUCUUCCGUAGGGAGUGGCACUGUGCCCAUGUGACAAUGCCCAGUCGGUAGGUAUGAAUGGAGGUGAUGUGAGGUCUCAGAAGGGCUGCUGUAGCAGCUUCUCCAGACGCAGCCAUGAUGAGCCAGUCUCACCACCUGAAGCUGUCCCAUCCUCGGAGCAGGUACCACAGACCCAUCCUCGACUCCUCUUUCUGGGCUCGGCACUGUCAUGCCUCUUAAACCUCAAGAAGGCAAGUAUGGAGGAUCCAGUUUGAAGCAGGUCAGAGGGCUCUGGGUGGGACGUCUCCAAGCAGACACUAAAUGCUGCUGGUAAGGGAUUCUGUAGAUGUGGUCGAAGUCUAGCAUCACUUGACUUCCAGGGAAGACGACUCCUGAUCAUGUGAGUGGGCCGCGCCGUUCAGGUCAGCAGUAGGUAACUGUCCCACGUUCGUACAAAAGUUCAUGGCUUCAAUGCAUCCCCCAGCAUUCCUAUAUCCAAACUUAAUCCCCAAUUCAAUAAUAUCAGGAGGUGGUGGGGCUUUGAGAAGGCGACUAGGUCAUGAGGGCUCUGCUCUCAGGAAUGGGAUUCGUGGCUCAGUAGAGAGCUGCCCUUCUGUUCUUCCAUGUGAAGACAGUGUGGACCGCUCUAGAGGAUGUCAUUUGUGCCAUCUUGGAAAGCAAGGCUAGAUUCUCACCAGGUUACCGUUUAUUUUUAAUUUGUUUUGAUUUUUUUGAGACAAGAUCUCCUUAUGUAGUCUGGGCUGGCCUUGAACUCAUUAUACAGCUGAAGCUGGCCUUGAACUUCUAGGGUUCCUCCUGCAUCAGCCUUCUUAGUGCUGGGAUUGCAGGUGUGUUCCACGAUACCAGCCUUGAGUUUUAUUGAACUGUCUAUGCCUUGAUCUUGGACUUCUAGCCUCCAGAAUUAUGGGAAAUAACUUCUGUUCUUUCUAAGUUAUUCGGUCUUAGGUAUUUUGUUAUAACAGCAGACACAGACUAAGAUAUAGAAUGCUAUCUAGCAGUGAAAAAAGAAUGUUUCCACUACACACACACAUAAAAAUAAAUUUCAGAUAACAAUGAUCAACAAGAAGCCAGAUAAAGUGUAAAUACUGUAUGAUUCUAUUUACUAGCAGUUCAAGAACUGACAACAUGAAUCCAUGUGAUGGAGGUUAUAAAAAUGUUACCUAGUCCUGGGCACGGUGACACACUCUAUACUUCUAGUCCUCAGGAGGCUGAGACAGAAGAAUCACUUGAGUCCAUGAGUUUGAGACCAGCCCCGGC
Molecule: long non-coding RNA, 1835 nt
Filed under: Fukomys damarensis (Damara mole-rat)
Lineage: Eukaryota; Metazoa; Chordata; Mammalia; Rodentia; Bathyergidae
Description: lncRNA (ENSFDAG00000031482.1)
Source: RNAcentral